Molecule: ribosomal RNA, 253 nt
Filed under: uncultured bacterium
Lineage: Bacteria
Description: partial 16S ribosomal RNA
Rfam family: Bacterial small subunit ribosomal RNA
Source: RNAcentral
UACAGAGGUCUCAAGCGUUGUUCGGAUUCAUUGGGCGUAAAGGGUGCGUAGGCGGUGCGGUAAGUCGGGUGUGAAAUCUCGGAGCUUAACUCCGAAACUGCAUUCGAUACUGCCGUGCUUGAGGACUGGAGAGGAGACUGGAAUUUACGGUGUAGCGGUGAAAUGCGUAGAUAUCGUAAGGAAGACCAGUGGCGAAGGCGGGUCUCUGGGCAGUACCUGACGCUGAGGCACGAAGGUCAGGGGAGCAAACGGG